RNAcentral lists this ribosomal RNA (301 nucleotides) under uncultured bacterium. RNAcentral's name for it is "partial 16S ribosomal RNA". It matches the Rfam family "Bacterial small subunit ribosomal RNA", at positions 509 to 807 of the family's 1533-position model. The record is from RNAcentral.
CAGCCGCCGCGGUAAUACGAAGGGUGCAAGCGUUAAUCGGAAUUACUGGGCGUAAAGCGUGCGUAGGCGGUUUGUUAAGUCUGUUGUGAAAUCCCCGGGCUCAACCUGGGAAUGGCAAUGGAUACUGGCAAGCUAGAGUGUGUCAGAGGAUGGUGGAAUUCCCGGUGUAGCGGUGAAAUGCGUAGAGAUCGGGAGGAACAUCAGUGGCGAAGGCGGCCAUCUGGGACAACACUGACGCUGAGGCACGAAAGCGUGGGGAGCAAACAGGAUUAGAUACCCCUGUAGUCCCUGUCUCUUAUAC